Molecule: long non-coding RNA, 3110 nt
Filed under: Lathyrus oleraceus (garden pea)
Lineage: Eukaryota; Viridiplantae; Streptophyta; Magnoliopsida; Fabales; Fabaceae
Description: Pisum sativum (pea) long non-coding RNA (PSAT_LNC032376)
Source: RNAcentral
AGAGCUAAACUGAAGUGCACGUUUUAUUAUUUUUAUUGAACUCAUACAAUAAAUUCAUUGGUGAAAACAACAACAUGUUGUCUUCUCAAGAUGAGUAAAACAUGUCCCCCUUUUCCAAAUCCCUUGCGAAAGCAAUCCUGGUCACACGUUGCAACACAAGGCCCUAUACAAACUCCUCGGGAGGGACCAAAAUACUGGUAACCAAUCCUGAAUCAACCAAAAUUUAAAAUUAGUUUGUGUCUGACAUUGCUUCAUAAUUUUUACAUUAUAAUCUCAAUCUAAUGUUUCUUCGAAUUGAGAAUUGAUUAAACCAUAAUUAAUUGUUAUUGAUCUACAUAUCUUGUUAAAAAGAAAUCAACUUCUUAGAAGGGUUAAACAAUCACAUAAUUUUUUAGACGAGUCUUUUUUACUUUCUUUUGAAUAUAAAGAUGCAAUAUAUGUUUCAAUAAAAAACAUUUGGUGUUAGUAAAUUCUACUUUAAAAUUGAAACUCAAAAAUAAAAAUAAAUUUCAUUCUUACCCGAACUAACCAUCAAAACAAGGCAUAAAACACUCAAAAAACAAGAUUGAUUGUUGGUGUGACAUGCCAUUUUGUAAGAUUUCAAUUUAUUAUUUUGUUUCUUCAGUAGUAAAAACCCGAAAAGAUGUGAAGACCCAUAACAAAAUUAACCUAUCUUCAUUAGAAUCGGCACUAUAUAAAAGAGUAAACUGUGUAUUAGGUUUUGUUGUCAAAAUAAAUCAGAUAAUAUGACGGAAUUGAAAAACUUUAAACUAAAAAUUUAAAUAUAAUGAGACAUCUUAAAAAGAGUAAGAAAAGAAUAACCUUUCCAAAAAUACAAUUACCCUACAAGCGGGUCCAGAUAUCCAAAAUAUAAAAAAAUAAAUUUGAAAUAACAUAAUUAGAAAAAAUAAUUUUUCAAAUAUAUAUAUUUAAUUAAAAAUUGAAUUUUGAAGAAAGGAAUCAGAUAACAGUGGAGUUGCCUGAUUCAUCGGAAGUGGCUUGGGGCUUCCCCCACCCACACCUGGAAUAGUGUCAAGUUUCUCUUAAUGAUUAUGAAUCAUAUAAUAAAAUAGAAAAAUAUAUAAUACGAUAAAAUAUUAUAUAUACGUUGCUAAAAAUCGAAAGAACCAGUAAAAGGGUAAGUGGGUGGAUCUACCAAACAUAAACUGUCCUUAAUGGUAGUGUUAUGGGCGCGUAUGAUAGGAGAUCGCUAGUAUUAGUUCUUUUAAUAAAAAUAUAUAAUUCAAAUAUGAAACUCAAUCUAAAAAUACUUUUACAUAAAUUUAUCCAAAAUGUUGAAUGCUCCGCUAAAUUGCAGAAAGUAAAAAAAGAAUAAGGUUAGAUGUUAAAUAAAAACCUGGUAUGAGUAGGCUGUAUCAAUAUGAAUAGUAGGGAAUUGUUGAUAGGUAAAAAUUUGAGAGUCAAAAAAAAUAAAAUCGGGUUACAAAUUCUUAUUGGAAUUAUUGAAAAGAGAAGAAUAUGAAGGAAUGAGUAUUAGAAUUCAAUAACCACAAUAGAACUUAAAUAAACAACAAUAAUACCGGGUGUCAAUAAAUCGUUAGCAUAGUAUGUCAGAAUUAUGGAUAUAGAAGUAGAAUUAUAAUAUAUAUAUAUAAGAUUUUUUUUAAAAUUAUUUGAAACAAUUUUCCAACACUGGAAUUAUAUUUAUUAGAAAUUGCAGUUAGUGUUUUAUCCAGAUUAUGUUCCGACUAGACUUUGUUCAAAAUUUAUUUGGAUUUCUAUUUUGUACUAUUUUGUUGUGUGUGAUGAUUAUAUUUAGCAUUUGAAUUUAAAUAAUGAACUUGUGAAAUUAUUUAAAUUUGAAGUUUUGUAGGUGUCAUGAUUUUUUUAGAGACCGAGUCACCUGUUCGACCAGUUUAAUAACUUUAUCUUUUUUGAUAAAGGCAGAUCUAUUAAAAUGACUUUUCCAAUUUUAUUCGGUUUAGUCAAGCGGUUCGACUUGUGACCCAGUGGUUUGACUAACGAACGAGUGACUCAAUACCCUCACGGUUUGAUGACCCUUUCGAUUGUUAAAACUUUGAUUUUAAGAUCUACCUAAUCAUCAAACUAAUAUUUUUUUAAAAUAAACACCGGUAGUAGGAUAUAAAUAAGGAUUUUCUUCAAAACACAAUUUAACAUAUACCUCAUCAAUCAUAAUUUUGACCAAACACUUGAUUACCUCUUAUAAAGAAUUUAAAAUUAGAAUAUUUGCAUAACUCAAAUAAAUUCUUUAUCUGGUGUCUUUAAAUCCACCCUCACUAACUAUCCAUGUAUAAUAUAUUUUUUGUGAUUUCAAGGGAACCAUAUUUUUGAUAACUUUUAAACAUCCAUUUUAUUCAACAUGAAAACAUAAAUAAUUAAAAUAUUUAAGUAACAUUCUAUAAAAAAAGACAAUUCAAAUAAUAUAUAUUCCAUUUUAAAAUUCAUUUAUUCGUAAGAGUGUUUAUAGAAUUUUAACGAUUUACACAAAUUUCUUACAAACAGUAAGUUCUAGAUCUAAACUCAAGUGCACGUUUUAUUAUUUUUAUUGAAUUCAUAGAAUAAAAUACAUUAGUGAAAACAAUAACAUGUUGUCUUCUCAAGAGUAAUAUAACAUUGUCCCCUUUUCAAAAUCCCUUGCCACGGCAAUCCUGGUCGCAUGUUGCAACACAAGGCCCUAUACAAACUCCUCCGGGAGGGACCAAAAUACUCGUAACCAAUCCUGAAUCAACCAAAGUUUAAAAUUAGUUUGUGUGUGACAUUGCUUCAUUAUUUUUACAUUAAAAAUCUCAAUCUAAUGUUCUUUCGAAUUGAGAAUUGAUUAAACCAUAGUUGAAUUAUUAUUGAUCUACAUAUCUUGUUUAAACAAAAAAUUAAAAAAUUCAACUUCUUAGAAGGGUUAAACAAUCACAUAAUUUUUUAAACGAGUCUUUUUUACUUUCUUUUGAAUAUAAAGAUGCAAUAUAUGUUUCAGUAAAAAACAUUUGGUGUUAGUAAAUUCUACUUUAAAAUUGAAACUCAAAAAUAAAAAUAAAAUUUCAUUCUUACCCGAACUAACCAUCAAAACAAGGCAUAAAACACUCAAAAAACAGUGUGACAUGCCAUUUUGUAAGAUUUCAAUUUAUAUUUUA